GACGAACGCUGGCGGCGUGCUUAACACAUGCAAGUCGAACGGAAAGGUCCUGCUUUUGUGGGGUGCUCGAGUGGCGAACGGGUGAGUAACACGUGAGUCACCUGCCCUCGACUUUGGGAUAACUUCAGGAAACUGGGGCUAAUACCGGAUAGGAGCUCCUGCUGCAUGGUGGGGGGUGGAAAGUUUCGGCGGUUGGAGAUGGUCUCGGGGCUUAUCAGCUUGUUGGUGGGGUAGUGGCUUACCAAGGCUUUGACGGGUAGCCGGCCUGGGAGGGUGGCCGGCGCCAUUGGGACUGAGAUACGGCCCAGACUCGUACUGGAGACAGCGGUGGGGAAUAUUGCACAGUAGGCGGAAGCCUGAUGCAGCAACGCCGCGUGCGGGAUGACGGCCUUCGGGUUGUAAACCGCUUUCGCCUGUGACGAAGCGUGAGUGACGGUAAUGGAUAAAGAAGCACCGGCUAACUACGUG
Molecule: ribosomal RNA, 468 nt
Filed under: uncultured bacterium
Lineage: Bacteria
Description: partial 16S ribosomal RNA
Rfam family: Bacterial small subunit ribosomal RNA
Source: RNAcentral